Molecule: long non-coding RNA, 269 nt
Organism: Dreissena polymorpha
Lineage: Eukaryota; Metazoa; Mollusca; Bivalvia; Myida; Dreissenidae
Exons: 3
Source: RefSeq, a predicted model, not a curated record
AACUGACCCAGCAUUGAACAUGGCCUAGGUAUUGACAUACAACUGACCCAGCUUUGAACAUGGCCUAGGUAUUGACAUACAACUGACCCAGCUUUGAACAUGGCCUAGGUAUUGACAUGAUAUACAACUGACCCAGCUUUGAACAUGGCCUAGGUAUUGACAUGAUAUACAACUGACCCAGCAUUGAACAUGGCCUAGGUAUUGACAUACAACUGACCCAGCUUUGAACAUGGCCUAGGUAUUGACAUACAACUGACCCAGCUUUGAAC